AGAAAACUGAAACACUAGAGGAGAGUUGAACGCAAAUGAUUGAAAGGCUGAAAAGAUUAAGAGCUGCAUUUGGAGCCUCAUUUCUCUGGCUCGUUUGCCUCAUUUACUUCACCCAGGGUUUUAGAUACUUUGUUUGGACUGCAGUUUCUUACCAGCUGAAAGAUAGGCUCAAGUUGUCACCGUCGUCUUCCCAGAUUGUGUUUUCGAUACCUUUCUUCCCAUGGAGCAUUAAACCAUUAUAUGGGUAUGGAUCUUCUUCUACCUAGUGUAUGUGUUCUUGAGUGUGAUCAACUGGAUGGGUAGAAAAAAAACAGAGACAUGCUAGCUUCGAGGGCUAUUGCUUGCUUGAAUGUCGACAGUGCAGUAUAUGCGCCAGGAUUCUGGGCCUCUGCCACUCCACAGCUUGAUAAACUUCUUAAGCAAGCUACUCAACAGGUCAAAGAUCUCAAUAACUCAUCACAAACUCUCUACCAAGCGUGGGUUGGUUCCAGCAGUUCACCUAGAGUACGCAACUACUUCACAUAACACCCCAUAAUAUAAAACUUUGUUGCUACGUUUAAGAAAAAUUGCAAUUCAUGUUAUUUGUGUUCAACCGAUCAGCUAUUCAAGUCUUGCAUUAUCUACACAUUAUAAAUGUUGGAAGAUUUUUUUCAUGAAAUGGAUAUUUUAAACUGUAUUUUUCAUACAAAGUUUAGCAGGUUGGGAAGUGGAGAAUCUGAUUUUGCAGCUUUUGUUCAAAAUAAUGGAAUUCCGUCUGCCGACAUGACUUUCUGUAAAGGAUAUCCAGUAUACCAUGCCAUUCCAUGUAUGAUGACUUUGUAUGGUUGGAAAAUUUGGUGAUCCAUUCUUUCAUAGGCAUGUUGCAGUGGCAAACUUAUGGGGUUUGAUAGCUCUUUGGCUAGCGGAUGCAGAGUUUUUGCCUUUUAUACAUCCUAUGCGCUGGAGCUACAGAAAUACAUGAAGGAUUUGGAAGUCAAAAUCUUAGAUAAGAACAUUAACCUAACUCCUCUGUUCAAGUCCAUUGAGGAGCUCAAAAAAGCAGCCACAAUAAUCAACAACCAGAGAAAGUUAUCAAUCGUAUUUCCCAUGAAUCUUGAUCGACAUUUAAUUUCAUGAAUGUUCUAAAUUGGAAGCAUAAGUGUACAGGAAAUAGAACAAAACAAAGGUUGCCCUUCAAAAUGGAAGAAGGAACAUUAUCAUUCUUCUUCUGAAGGAAGCCAAGAAUAAAGAUUGUCAUUGCAAAGAACAAGAGCAGCAAAGCCACACUUCAAAGAUAUUCAAGUUGUAAGACAGAUCUUUUCAUUGCAUAUAUGUUUGAGUUUCGCUUAUUGAAAGGAUGAUACUUACAUGCGCAUCUUUCUGUUUUGGUACAAUAAUGAACAUUGUAGGUCCAGAAUUUAAUUGAAAGGUGUCUGCAGUUGUGUAUGAAAGGAGAUGAAGUUGUCAAUAUCCUCUUAGAUUGUGCUAGGAUUGAGCCUGUGUUUACGAACUUGGGUAUGGCAGUGUACUACUCCACAUAAUUUAUAUUGCAUGAGAAUAAAGCCUAAUCGCUGCCUUUGAUUUGACA
Molecule: RNA transcript, 1567 nt
Organism: Rosa chinensis
Lineage: Eukaryota; Viridiplantae; Streptophyta; Magnoliopsida; Rosales; Rosaceae
Gene name: probable folate-biopterin transporter 4
Exons: 7
Source: RefSeq, a predicted model, not a curated record